Molecule: transfer RNA, 76 nt
Filed under: Lancefieldella rimae ATCC 49626
Lineage: Bacteria; Bacillati; Actinomycetota; Coriobacteriia; Coriobacteriales; Atopobiaceae
Description: Atopobium rimae ATCC 49626 tRNA-Gln
Rfam family: tRNA
About the family: Transfer RNA (tRNA) molecules are approximately 80 nucleotides in length.
Source: RNAcentral
UUGGGAUAUCGUCUAGUGGUAGGACAGCGGAUUCUGGUUCCGUCAACGGGAGUUCGACUCUCUCUAUCCCAGCCAU